UAGGGAAUCUUCCGCAAUGGGCGAAAGCCUGACGGAGCAACGCCGCGUGAGUGAAGAAGGAUUUCGGUUCGUAAAGCUCUGUUGUUAGGGAAGAAUGGAUAUGUAGUAACUAUACAUAUAAGAGACGGUACCUAACCAGAAAGCCACGGCUAACUACGUGCCAGCAGCCGCGGUAAUACGUAGGUGGCAAGCGUUGUCCGGAAUUAUUGGGCGUAAAGCGCGCGCAGGUGGUUUAAUAAGUCUGAUGUGAAAGCCCACGGCCCAACCGUGGAGGGUCAUUGGAAACUGUUAAACUUGAGUGCAGGAGAGAAAAGUGGAAUUCCUAGUGUAGCGGUGAAAUGCGUAGAGAUUAGGAGGAACACCAGUGGCGAAGGCGGCUUUUUGGCCUGUAACUGACACUGAGGCGCGAAAGCGUGGGGAGCAAACAGGAUUAGAUACCCUGGUAGUCCACGCCGUAAACGAUGAGUGCUAAGUGUUGGUCUCAUAAGAGAUCAGUGCUGCAGCUAACGCAUUAAGCACUCCGCCUGGGGAGUACGACCGCAAGGUUG
Molecule: ribosomal RNA, 548 nt
Filed under: uncultured bacterium
Lineage: Bacteria
Description: bacterial SSU rRNA
Rfam family: Bacterial small subunit ribosomal RNA
Source: RNAcentral